This 497-nucleotide ribosomal RNA is filed under the name uncultured bacterium. RNAcentral's name for it is "partial 16S ribosomal RNA". It matches the Rfam family "Bacterial small subunit ribosomal RNA", at positions 28 to 507 of the family's 1533-position model. The record is from RNAcentral.
GAUGAACGCUGGCGGCGUGCCUAAUACAUGCAAGUCGAGCGAACAGACGAGGAGCUUGCUCCUCUGACGUUAGCGGCGGACGGGUGAGUAACACGUGGAUAACCUACCUAUAAGACUGGGAUAACUUCGGGAAACCGGAGCUAAUACCGGAUAAUAUAUUGAACCGCAUGGUUCAAUAGUGAAAGACGGUUUUGCUGUCACUUAUAGAUGGAUCCGCGCCGCAUUAGCUAGUUGGUAAGGUAACGGCUUACCAAGGCAACGAUGCGUAGCCGACCUGAGAGGGUGGUUGGCCACACGGUAACUGAGACACGGUCCAGACUCCUAGGGAGAGCAGCGGUAGAGAAUCUUCCGCAAUGGACGAAAGCCUGACGGUGCAACACCGCGUGAGUGAUGAAGGUCUUCGGAUCGUAAAACUCUGUUAUUAGGGAAGAACAAAUGUGUAAGUAACUAUGAACGUCUUGACGGUACCUAAUCAGAAAGCCACGGCUAACUACGUG